This 859-nucleotide ribosomal RNA is filed under the name Escherichia coli. RNAcentral's name for it is "partial 23S ribosomal RNA". It matches the Rfam family "Bacterial large subunit ribosomal RNA", at positions 331 to 1194 of the family's 2925-position model. The record is from RNAcentral. Lineage: Bacteria; Pseudomonadati; Pseudomonadota; Gammaproteobacteria; Enterobacterales; Enterobacteriaceae.
AGUGGAAGCGUCUGGAAAGGCGUGCGAUACAGGGUGACAGCCCCGUACACAAAAAUGCACAUAUUGUGAGCUCGAUGAGUAGGGCGGGACACGUGGUAUCCUGUCUGAAUAUGGGGGGACCAUCCUCCAAGGCUAAAUACUCCUGACUGACCGAUAGUGAACCAGUACCGUGAGGGAAAGGCGAAAAGAACCCCGGCGAGGGGAGUGAAAAAGAACCUGAAACCGUGUACGUACAAGCAGUGGGAGCACGCUUAGGCGUGUGACUGCGUACCUUUUGUAUAAUGGGUCAGCGACUUAUAUUCUGUAGCAAGGUUAACCGAAUAGGGGAGCCGAAGGGAAACCGAGUCUUAACUGGGCGUUAAGUUGCAGGGUAUAGACCCGAAACCCGGUGAUCUAGCCAUGGGCAGGUUGAAGGUUGGGUAACACUAACUGGAGGACCGAACCGACUAAUGUUGAAAAAUUAGCGGAUGACUUGUGGCUGGGGGUGAAAGGCCAAUCAAACCGGGAGAUAGCUGGUUCUCCCCGAAAGCUAUUUAGGUAGCGCCUCGUGAAUUCAUCUCCGGGGGUAGAGCACUGUUUCGGCAAGGGGGUCAUCCCGACUUACCAACCCGAUGCAAACUGCGAAUACCGGAGAAUGUUAUCACGGGAGACACACGGCGGGUGCUAACGUCCGUCGUGAAGAGGGAAACAACCCAGACCGCCAGCUAAGGUCCCAAAGUCAUGGUUAAGUGGGAAACGAUGUGGGAAGGCCCAGACAGCCAGGAUGUUGGCUUAGAAGCAGCCAUCAUUUAAAGAAAGCGUAAUAGCUCACUGGUCGAGUCGGCCUGCGCGGAAGAUGUAACGGGGCUAAACCAUGCAC